GAUGAACGCUGGCGGCGUGCCUAAUACAUGCAAGUCGAGCGAACGGACGAGAAGCUUGCUUCUCUGAUGUUAGCGGCGGACGGGUGAGUAACACGUGGAUAACCUACCUAUAAGACUGGGAUAACUUCGGGAAACCGGAGCUAAUACCGGAUAAUAUUUUGAACCGCAUGGUUCAAAAGUGAAAGACGGUCUUGCUGUCACUUAUAGAUGGAUCCGCGCUGCAUUAGCUAGUUGGUAAGGUAACGGCUUACCAAGGCAACGAUGCAUAGCCGACCUGAGAGGGUGAUCGGCCACACUGGAACUGCGACACGGUCCAGACUCCUACGGGAGGCAGCAGUAGGGAAUCUUCCGCAGUGGGCGAAAUCCUGACGGAGCAGCGCCGCGUGAGUGAUGACGGUCUUCGGAUCGUAAAACUCUGUUAUUAGGGAAGACCAUAUGUGUAAGUCACUGUGCACGUCUUGACGGUACCUAAUCAGAAAGCCACGGCUAACUACGUG
RNAcentral lists this ribosomal RNA (497 nucleotides) under uncultured bacterium. RNAcentral's name for it is "partial 16S ribosomal RNA". It matches the Rfam family "Bacterial small subunit ribosomal RNA", at positions 28 to 507 of the family's 1533-position model. The record is from RNAcentral.